CUUAAUUCUUUCUUAGGGAUGCACCUGCGAUCCCACUGCUGGGGAGGCUGAGACAAGAGGCCACCUGAGCUGAGCUAUACAAUGAGACUGUUGUCUGGAAAAUCAAGGAAAACAACACAGAGGCCUGCCAAAGGAUGCAUCUUGCUGGAAGGAGACCAAAUGGGCUCUGUCACGAAGGGCGGGUCUACAGCCUGUGCAGAAGAAGCAGGAAGUUGUGGAGAGGCGUGGCCUCAGAGGGAUCCCCAGGGCUCCCAGGAACAGAGCUGUGGAAGGGCCCUUCCUUGCCCACCAACCGUCUUCCACUUUCUCCAAUCCUGCGGACUGCCUGCCUGCUCUGACUCCACCUGGAGACUGAAAAGACUCAGCCUGGGAAGAUGCUAACUGCUUGGCGUUGCUGUGCUUCACUCUUUUUGUUUGUUUGUUUGUUUGUUUUGGGUUUUUUUUUCUUUGAUUUUCAGAGACAGCUUAUG
This is a long non-coding RNA of Mesocricetus auratus (golden hamster), 470 nucleotides long. RefSeq lists it as uncharacterized. The transcript has 3 exons. The record is from RefSeq and is a predicted model, not a curated record. Lineage: Eukaryota; Metazoa; Chordata; Mammalia; Rodentia; Cricetidae.